This is a long non-coding RNA of Pezoporus flaviventris, 535 nucleotides long. RefSeq lists it as uncharacterized. The transcript is spliced from 3 exons. The record is from RefSeq and is a predicted model, not a curated record. NCBI's taxonomy places the organism in Eukaryota, Metazoa, Chordata, Aves, Psittaciformes, Psittacidae.
AGCUGUGAACAUGACUUACCUCUGCGGUACAGCCAUUCCUCAGUGAAGCAAAAAGGGAGCACCACAAUGGUCAGAGCUAUGAAAGUGCAGAUACUUCAUGGAUGAUCUACAGACUUUCUAAUACAGCUAUCAACAUACAGACCAGUUUUCUCAGAGCUGCUGAUGAACCAGAUGGCAGGAGCAGCAGAAACCAAAGGAGGAGCAGGAAGCCUUUAAGAAUGAGAUUGCUAAAACACAGGGAAAAUGGAAGUGAAAAACUCGGCCUGGACAAAACCGAGCACCAGAAUGGAAAAGCAAGCCCUGGAGGAGCUUAGCCAAAAGGGGAAAGAAUAAAGAAAAGCAGCUCAGUUCUUCAAUUCAAAUUCCAAUUCUGUGCUUUCAGGAGAGGAGUCUUAGAGAAACUGAAGAACUGGCAUUGUCUCCUUUGUAGUUGCAGCUGCUCACAGUCACUGCCUCCAUGUUCCCAAACCUAGGCAGUGCCAAAAGCCUGCCGAUUUCCCAGGAUGUAGAAAAAGAGCACCUCAGAGUGACCAUC